Molecule: unclassified non-coding RNA, 228 nt
Organism: Mesocricetus auratus (golden hamster)
Lineage: Eukaryota; Metazoa; Chordata; Mammalia; Rodentia; Cricetidae
Gene: 7SK
Rfam family: 7SK RNA
About the family: 7SK was discovered as an abundant small nuclear RNA in the mid-70s but a possible function has only recently been suggested. Two independent studies have found that 7SK RNA binds the CDK9/cyclin T complex (known as elongation factor P-TEFb).
Source: Ensembl
GGCUGAGUGACUGCGUUUGCCAGUCUCACCACGCCAUGUGCGUGCUCCUCAAUGCUGUGCAUUUGCUUAAAGAGGGUCAUCUUCCCUGGACGGAGGAGGACCAGUCCGUGGUCAAGGAUGUACAAAUAGCUGUGCUCCUCUGCUAGAACCUGAAAACUUGCUCUCAAAUUCAACAAAGAAAAGGGCCAGAGAGGUAGGUAGCCCCAUGGUGGAGUAUUUGCCCAGCAU